CCUACGGGGGGCAGCAGUGAGGAAUAUUGGUCAAUGGACGAGAGUCUGAACCAGCCAAGUAGCGUGAAGGAUGACUGCCCUAUGGGUUGUAAACUUCUUUUAUAUGGGAAUAAAACGUUCCACGUGUGGGAUUUUGUAUGUACCAUAUGAAUAAGGAUCGGCUAACUCCGUGCCAGCAGCCGCGGUAAUACGGAGGAUCCGAGCGUUAUCCGGAUUUAUUGGGUUUAAAGGGAGCGUAGGUGGAUUGUUAAGUCAGUUGUGAAAGUUUGUGGCUCAACCGUAAAAUUGCAGUUGAAACUGGCAGUCUUGAGUACAGUAGAGGUGGGCGGAAUUCGUGGUGUAGCGGUGAAAUGCUUAGAUAUCACGAAGAACUCCGAUUGCGAAGGCAGUUCACUGGACUGCAACUGACACUGAGGCUCGAAAGUGUGGGUAUCAAACAGGAUUAGAUACCCUGGUAGUC
RNAcentral lists this ribosomal RNA (460 nucleotides) under uncultured bacterium. RNAcentral describes it as "partial 16S ribosomal RNA". It matches the Rfam family "Bacterial small subunit ribosomal RNA", at positions 338 to 795 of the family's 1533-position model. The record is from RNAcentral.